Molecule: ribosomal RNA, 465 nt
Filed under: uncultured bacterium
Lineage: Bacteria
Description: partial 16S ribosomal RNA
Rfam family: Bacterial small subunit ribosomal RNA
Source: RNAcentral
GAUGAACGCUGGCGGCGUGCUUAACACAUGCAAGUCGAACGGAAAGGCUCCUGCUUGCUGGGGUACUCGAGUGGCGAACGGGUGAGUAACACGUGGGUGAUCUGCCCUGCACUUCGGGAUAAGCCUGGGAAACUGGGUCUAAUACCGGAUAGGACGAUGGUUUGGAUGCCAUUGUGGAAAGUUUUUCGGUGUGGGAUGAGCUCUCGGCCUAUCAGCUUGUUGGUGGGGUAAUGGCCUACCAAGGCGUCGACGGGUAGCCGGCCUGAGAGGGUGUACGGCCACAUUGGGACUGAGGUACGGCCCAGACUGCUACGGGAGGCAGCAGUGGGGAAUAUUGCACAAUGGGCGCAAGGCUGAUGCAGCGACGCCGCGUGGGGGAUGACGGCCUUCGGGUUGUAAACACCUUUCGCUAGGGACGAAGCGCAAGUGACGGUACCUGGAGAAGAAGCACCGGCUAACUACGUG